This 484-nucleotide ribosomal RNA is filed under the name uncultured bacterium. RNAcentral's name for it is "partial 16S ribosomal RNA". It matches the Rfam family "Bacterial small subunit ribosomal RNA", at positions 29 to 507 of the family's 1533-position model. The record is from RNAcentral.
AUUGAACGCUGGCGGCAUGCUUUACACAUGCAAGUCGAACGGCAGCGCGGGCUUCGGCCUGGCGGCGAGUGGCGAACGGGUGAGUAAUGCAUCGGAACGUGCCCAGUAGUGGGGGAUAGCCCGGCGAAAGCCGGAUUAAUACCGCAUACGACCUGAGGGUGAAAGCGGGGGACCGAAAGGCCUCGCGCUAUUGGAGCGGCCGAUGUCGGAUUAGCUAGUUGGUGGGGUAAAGGCUUACCAAGGCGACGAUCCGUAGCUGGUCUGAGAGGACGACCAGCAACACUGGGACUGAGACACGGCCCAGACUCCUACGGGAGGCAGCAGUGGGGAAUUUUGGACAAUGGGGGCAACCCUGAUCCAGCCAUGCCGCGUGCGGGAAGAAGGCCUUCGGGUUGUAAACCGCUUUUGUUCGGGAAGAAAUCCUCUGGGCUAAUACCCCGGGGGGAUGACGGUACCGGAAGAAUAAGCACCGGCUAACUACGUG